Molecule: ribosomal RNA, 252 nt
Filed under: uncultured bacterium
Lineage: Bacteria
Description: partial 16S ribosomal RNA
Rfam family: Bacterial small subunit ribosomal RNA
Source: RNAcentral
UACGGAGGAUGCGAGCGUUAUCCGGAUUUAUUGGGUUUAAAGGGUGCGUAGGCGGGAUGCCAAGUCAGCGGUAAAAAUGCGGUGCUCAACGCCGUCGGGCCGUUGAAACUGGCGUUCUCGAGUGGGCGAGAAGUAUGCGGAAUGCGUGGUGUAGCGGUGAAAUGCAUAGAUAUCACGCAGAACUCCGAUUGCGAAGGCAGCAUACCGGCGCCCUACUGACGCUGAGGCACGAAAGCGUGGGUAUCGAACAGG